Molecule: transfer-messenger RNA, 363 nt
Filed under: Salmonella enterica subsp. enterica
Lineage: Bacteria; Pseudomonadati; Pseudomonadota; Gammaproteobacteria; Enterobacterales; Enterobacteriaceae
Rfam family: transfer-messenger RNA
About the family: Bacterial tmRNA, also known as 10Sa RNA or SsrA, is named for its dual tRNA and mRNA-like properties. Its role is to liberate the mRNA from a stalled ribosome.
Source: RNAcentral
GGGGCUGAUUCUGGAUUCGACGGGAUUUGCGAAACCCAAGGUGCAUGCCGAGGGGCGGUUGGCCUCGUAAAAAGCCGCAAAAAAAUAGUCGCAAACGACGAAAACUACGCUUUAGCAGCUUAAUAACCUGCUUAGAGCCCUCUCUCCCUAGCCUCCGCUCUUAGGACGGGGAUCAAGAGAGGUCAAACCCAAAAGAGAUCGCGCGGAUGCCUUGCCUGGGGUUGAAGCGUUAAAACUAAUCAGGCUAGUCUGGUAGUGGCGUGUCCGUCCGCAGGUGCCAGGCGAAUGUAAAGACAGACUAAGCAUGUAGUACCGAGGAUGUAGGAAUUUCGGACGCGGGUUCAACUCCCGCCAGCUCCACCA